Molecule: long non-coding RNA, 856 nt
Filed under: Nicotiana benthamiana
Lineage: Eukaryota; Viridiplantae; Streptophyta; Magnoliopsida; Solanales; Solanaceae
Description: long non-coding RNA (NBEN_LNC032611)
Source: RNAcentral
UCCCCAAACCAACAUCAUUUUCUUCUUUCGCCCAAAACCAGCGUUACCCACCCCCUUUAUCUUCUUCCUUCAAAUCCACCUUCCUUCAAACUAGCGCAACGCCUCUCUCGCUGGAAACUUAAUUUUUGAGCAACUCGGAACGAAAUGAUGCACGGCUGUCUCCAUCUUCUUCACCACUUCUACUGCUUUGCUAUUAUCAAUCCUUUCAAGUAACCCACAAAACAUCUAACACAAUAACUUUUUGUCCUUUUCCUUUGGUUUAGUCAAUUUUUUGGUACCAAUCAAAUUUGGUCUCUUUCUGUUGCACUCAUGUUGUUCAAUGUGGAAUUUGGUGUCGUUUUCAUAUCUCUACUAGCUUAAAAAUAAUUUCCAGGUUAGGUACGUUGUUACUUUUUUUUUUUAGUUCUGAUUUGUGGGGUUUGCUUGAUUUGAUUGCUCAAAAAUGAAAGAAAGAUUUUCAGAUUUGGCUUAAUACUUUCUCCAAUUAAUUCUGCUGCAUUUGUAAUUUCAACGUUUGGAACUAGUUUUGGCUUGAAGGAAUUAGGCGGAGCUUCGAAGGUUAUGGGUAGUGGAAUUUUGUGAUGAAAGGGGCAAUUUCUGGUAAUUUUUGGCAGCUUGAUUGUAGUUUUAGUGGCUGGUUUUAAUGGUGGUUUUACGGUGAAGUUGAUGUGGGUUAGUCAAGCCAAGAAGAGAGGCUAAGAUACGCCCAAUUAUUAAGUUUUUUCAAAAAAAAAAAAAAUCAGGCUGAAAAAGUCGAGGUUAUCCUUUUCUCUCCCCGCUUCUUAGUCUUAUAGCAUAGCUCACCAUUCAAGUAUGUCACUUUACCAGGCGCGCUUAAAAUUUUAUUAGCAAACAC